UUCCCAUAAAAAUCAAACCUUCUGGUUUCUGAUUAUGAAAUUUUUUAAAAAAUUUCAUAAUCAGAAACCAGAAGGUUUGAUUUUUAUGGGA
This is a non-coding RNA of Pelobates cultripes (western spadefoot toad), 91 nucleotides long. NCBI's taxonomy places the organism in Eukaryota, Metazoa, Chordata, Amphibia, Anura, Pelobatidae. The record is from the annotation of a GenBank genome assembly.